UCAGCAGUGAUUCACUUAACAACUCUGGCAAGAAAGGUCAUAAAAUGUGACAAAACUCACUCAGCAAAAAUCUCACAACAACAUAGGUUUUGGGCUCAAUUGUGUUCGUAAGUCAAGAACUACCUAUAUUAAGGUUAGAAAGGAAACGGGAAGGAAAGAAUUAGCAGGAUGAGUUCAUUAAAUCAUUAUGCGUGUGUGUGUGUGUGUGGGUGUGUGUGU
Molecule: non-coding RNA, 219 nt
Organism: Pseudonaja textilis
Lineage: Eukaryota; Metazoa; Chordata; Lepidosauria; Squamata; Elapidae
Source: RefSeq, a predicted model, not a curated record